GGGUGAAUUGAAGUCUAGAUACUGUAGGGGCCGAUUCCGUUUCGGGGUCGGUCCUGUC
This is a regulatory RNA element of Synechococcus sp., 58 nucleotides long. It matches the Rfam family "psbNH RNA". NCBI's taxonomy places the organism in Bacteria, Bacillati, Cyanobacteriota, Cyanophyceae, Synechococcales, Synechococcaceae. The record is from Rfam.